AACGAACGCUGGCGGCAGGCCUAACGCAUGCAAGUCGAGCGAGAAGGUACCUUCGGGUACUGGACAGCGGCGGACGGGUGAGUAACGCGUGGGAAUAUACCUUUUGGUGGGGGACAACAGUUGGAAACGACUGCUAAUACCGCAUACGCCCUUCGGGGGAAAGAUUUAUCGCCGAGAGAUUAGCCCGCGUUAGAUUAGGUAGUUGGUGAGGUAACGGCUCACCAAGCCGACGAUCUAUAGCUGGUCUGAGAGGAUGAUCAGCCACACUGGGACUGAGACACGGCCCAG
RNAcentral lists this ribosomal RNA (288 nucleotides) under uncultured bacterium. RNAcentral describes it as "partial 16S ribosomal RNA". It matches the Rfam family "Bacterial small subunit ribosomal RNA", at positions 29 to 334 of the family's 1533-position model. The record is from RNAcentral.